RNAcentral lists this ribosomal RNA (31 nucleotides) under uncultured cyanobacterium. Its description in RNAcentral is "partial 23S ribosomal RNA". The record is from RNAcentral. Lineage: Bacteria; Bacillati; Cyanobacteriota.
GGUCAAGCUACAAGGGCUCAUGUGAUACCUU